Molecule: unclassified non-coding RNA, 143 nt
Filed under: uncultured Ascomycota
Lineage: Eukaryota; Fungi; Ascomycota
Description: sequence contains ITS2
Source: RNAcentral
UACUCAUGAGGCACAGCCUUGCGUUGGCUCUGGUCUUUGGGGAAACCAAGGACCGGGCCGAAACUUUUGUGGCGUCGUUCUCGAUCCGGCUAUGCGCAACAGCAGCAGACGGAGCGGCGAGCGACGGCCUGUGAACCCACAGA